RNAcentral lists this ribosomal RNA (1200 nucleotides) under uncultured bacterium. Its description in RNAcentral is "bacterial SSU rRNA". It matches the Rfam family "Bacterial small subunit ribosomal RNA", at positions 1 to 1215 of the family's 1533-position model. The record is from RNAcentral.
AUGCGGACGACGGCCAGUGAUUAGAGUUUGAUCCUGGCUCAGGAUGAACGCUAGCUACAGGCUUAACACAUGCAAGUCGAGGGGCAGCAUGAUCGAAGCUUGCUUUGAUUGAUGGCGACCGGCGCACGGGUGAGUAACGCGUAUCCAACCUUCCCUAUAGUAGAGAAUAGCCCGGCGAAAGUCGGAUUAAUGCUCUAUGUUGUAUUUAGAAGACAUCUGAAGAAUACCAAAGGUUUACCGCUAUAGGAUGGGGAUGCGUCUGAUUAGGUAGUAGGCGGGGUAACGGCCCACCUAGCCGACGAUCAGUAGGGGUUCUGAGAGGAAGGUCCCCCACAUUGGAACUGAGACACGGUCCAAACUCCUACGGGAGGCAGCAGUGAGGAAUAUUGGUCAAUGGACGGAAGUCUGAACCAGCCAAGUAGCGUGCAGGAUGACGGCCCUAUGGGUUGUAAACUGCUUUUAUAUAGGGAUAAAGUCGGGGACGUGUCCCCGUUUGUAGGUACUAUAUGAAUAAGGACCGGCUAAUUCCGUGCCAGCAGCCGCGGUAAUACGGAAGGUCCAGGCGUUAUCCGGAUUUAUUGGGUUUAAAGGGAGCGCAGGCUGAUGAUUAAGCGUGACGUGAAAUGUAGCCGCUCAACGGCUGAACUGCGUCGCGAACUGGUUAUCUUGAGUGAGUUCGAUGUUGGCGGAAUUCGUGGUGUAGCGGUGAAAUGCUUAGAUAUCACGAAGAACUCCGAUUGCGAAAGCAGCCAACAAAGGCCUUUACUGACGCUAAAGCUCGAAGUGCGGGUAUCGAACAGGAUUAGAUACCCUGGUAGUCCGCACGGUAAACGAUGGAUGCCCGCUGCUUGCGAUAUACUGUGAGCGGCCAGAGAAAUCGUUAAGCAUCCCACCUGGGGGAGUACGCCGGCAACGGUGAAACUCAAGGAAUUGACCGGGGCCCGCCCAAGCGGAGGGACCAUGUGGUUUAUUCGAUGAUACGCGAGGGAACCUUACCCGGGCUUGUACUGCCAGCGACGAUUCAAAAUGAUGAGGUCUUCAGGACCCUGGUGGAGGGGCUGCAUGUUGUCUUCACUCUGCCCUGCGAGGGGUCGCUUAAUGACCUAACAGGCACCCCUUUCUUAUUGCCUUCGUAUGCUGGACUUGGUAAUUGCACUAGUUGUUGCGGGAUAUCAAUCCAGGCCUUAUAUUCUCUGGGCU